RNAcentral lists this ribosomal RNA (1491 nucleotides) under metagenome. Its description in RNAcentral is "bacterial SSU rRNA". It matches the Rfam family "Bacterial small subunit ribosomal RNA". The record is from RNAcentral.
AGAGUUUGAUCCUGGCUCAGAUUGAACGCUGGCGGCAUGCCUUACACAUGCAAGUCGAACGGCAGCACGAGAGCUUGCUCUUGGUGGCGAGUGGCGAACGGGUGAGUAAUAUAUCGGAACGUACCCUAGAGUGGGGGAUAACGUAGCGAAAGUUACGCUAAUACCGCAUACGAUCUACGGAUGAAAGUGGGGGAUCGCAAGACCUCAUGCUCAUGGAGCGGCCGAUAUCUGAUUAGCUAGUUGGUGGGGUAAAAGCUCACCAAGGCGACGAUCAGUAGCUGGUCUGAGAGGACGACCAGCCACACUGGAACUGAGACACGGUCCAGACUCCUACGGGAGGCAGCAGUGGGGAAUUUUGGACAAUGGGCGCAAGCCUGAUCCAGCAAUGCCGCGUGAGUGAAGAAGGCCUUCGGGUUGUAAAGCUCUUUUGUCAGGGAAGAAACGGUGGACUCUAAUACAGAUCACUAAUGACGGUACCUGAAGAAUAAGCACCGGCUAACUACGUGCCAGCAGCCGCGGUAAUACGUAGGGUGCAAGCGUUAAUCGGAAUUACUGGGCGUAAAGCGUGCGCAGGCGGUUGUGCAAGACAGAUGUGAAAUCCCCGGGCUCAACCUGGGAAUUGCAUUUGUGACUGCACGGCUAGAGUGUGUCAGAGGGGGGUAGAAUUCCACGUGUAGCAGUGAAAUGCGUAGAGAUGUGGAGGAAUACCGAUGGCGAAGGCAGCCCCCUGGGAUAACACUGACGCUCAUGCACGAAAGCGUGGGGAGCAAACAGGAUUAGAUACCCUGGUAGUCCACGCCCUAAACGAUGUCUACUAGUUGUCGGGUCUUAAUUGACUUGGUAACGCAGCUAACGCGUGAAGUAGACCGCCUGGGGAGUACGGUCGCAAGAUUAAAACUCAAAGGAAUUGACGGGGACCCGCACAAGCGGUGGAUGAUGUGGAUUAAUUCGAUGCAACGCGAAAAACCUUACCUACCCUUGACAUGUCUGGAAUCCUUGAGAGAUCAGGGAGUGCUCGAAAGAGAAUCAGAACACAGGUGCUGCAUGGCUGUCGUCAGCUCGUGUCGUGAGAUGUUGGGUUAAGUCCCGCAACGAGCGCAACCCUUGUCAUUAGUUGCUACGAAAGGGCACUCUAAUGAGACUGCCGGUGACAAACCGGAGGAAGGUGGGGAUGACGUCAAGUCCUCAUGGCCCUUAUGGGUAGGGCUUCACACGUCAUACAAUGGUACAUACAGAGGGCCGCCAACCCGCGAGGGGGAGCUAAUCCCAGAAAGUGUAUCGUAGUCCGGAUUGUAGUCUGCAACUCGACUACAUGAAGUUGGAAUCGCUAGUAAUCGCGGAUCAGCAUGUCGCGGUGAAUACGUUCCCGGGUCUUGUACACACCGCCCGUCACACCAUGGGAGCGGGUUUCACCAGAAGUGGGUAGCCUAACCGCAAGGAGGGCGCUCACCACGGUGGGAUUCGUGACCGGGGUGAAGUCGUAACAAGGUA